GGAGGUGAACGGGGCCUGGUGGCCCUCCUGGUCUUCAAAACCAGUGAGCCGUGUGAAAGCGCGGUUGGUGGGUUCGAUUCCCAUCCACCUCCGCCA
RNAcentral lists this transfer RNA (96 nucleotides) under Candidatus Hydrogenedentota bacterium. Its description in RNAcentral is "Candidatus Hydrogenedentes bacterium tRNA-Sec". It matches the Rfam family "Selenocysteine transfer RNA". Lineage: Bacteria; Pseudomonadati; Candidatus Hydrogenedentota. The record is from RNAcentral.